This 468-nucleotide ribosomal RNA is filed under the name uncultured bacterium. RNAcentral describes it as "partial 16S ribosomal RNA". It matches the Rfam family "Bacterial small subunit ribosomal RNA", at positions 28 to 507 of the family's 1533-position model. The record is from RNAcentral.
GACGAACGCUGGCGGCGUGCUUAACACAUGCAAGUCGAACGGAAAGGCCCUGCUUUUGUGGGGUGCUCGAGUGGCGAACGGGUGAGUAACACGUGAGUAACCUGCCCUUGACUUUGGGAUAACUUCAGGAAACUGGGGCUAAUACCGGAUAGGAGCUCCUGCUGCAUGGUGGGGGUUGGAAAGUUUCGGCGGUUGGGGAUGGACUCGCGGCUUAUCAGCUUGUUGGUGGGGUAGUGGCUUACCAAGGCUUUGACGGGUAGCCGGCCUGAGAGGGUGACCGGCCACAAUGGGACUGAGGUACGGCCCAGAAUCCUACGGGAGGCAGCAGUGGGGAAUAUUGCACAAUGGGCGGAAGCCUGAUGCAGCAACGCCGCGUGCGGGAUGACGGCCUUCGGGUUGUAAACCGAUUUCGCCUGUGACGAAGCGUGAGUGACGGUAAUGGGUAAAGAAGCACCGGCUAACUACGUG